Molecule: non-coding RNA, 3172 nt
Organism: Lepisosteus oculatus (spotted gar)
Lineage: Eukaryota; Metazoa; Chordata; Actinopteri; Semionotiformes; Lepisosteidae
Source: RefSeq, a predicted model, not a curated record
AAAAUAAAACUAAUAAAAACAAUAAAUGUAAUAAAACCGGGUUAAUGUUUAAAUUAUACAGAAUAAAUAGAGGAGCAACAGAUAAAGGUUCAAAGCAAUUUGUAACCAAGUUGCUAAAUAAUCGUUACUAGCAGAACCAGGCCUGACCAAGCUGGGGGUCAGGACAUCAAAUUUAAAAUUAAAAACUAAUCAUGAUUUACAGGUAUAGAAAGUGAAAGUAUAUGUAAUACAGAUUAUUUAUAUGGUUUAUACAUCUACAGUAGGAAGAUAUACUGCACAUGUACAGAUUGCACCACUGCUAAAUAGGUUAUGCUUAUUGAAAGCAGAUUUUACUUAAUUUAAGUUUUUAAAAUAACAUAGCAUGUGAAAAAAAACAUUACAAACUGACUCACAAAAACAAAACAACCAUCUACAUUAAUACAAUAAUAUACUGUAAAUACUGUACAACUGGGUUAUAUUUAUGACCAAUUGAGAAGCAGGUUUAGGGAAUGAUAAACCAGAACUACCAACAUACGGUGGGGUCACCAAGUAUUGAAAACCAAGCAUUUAAUUAUAUAGCAUCAACUAUAUUUAGACCAGCAUUUAAUUGAUGUAUGACUGUUAAAUCAACAGCUUGACCAGAGUCGCUAGAUUUUUCUACAAAGCUCAAUCUGAAGCAAAUAGUCAUUCUAUAGAUAUCGUGUUUCAGUUAGACAAAACAAAUCCAGUGGUCAAUGAACUGAGAACUCACUGCAAAUCAAAGCCAUGUAAUUGUAUUACCAAAUCAGAGUAAUUCUAGUAGGUACCCUUGGCAAAGAGCGCAGAGGUUUAGAGACCGCUCCUGUUGCAAUUUGGAGAAAAUAGUACAGGCAGCCAUAAACGCCACCAGAGCCCUCAAAUUAAUGCUAUUGUCAAUGGGACUAGAAAGCAUUACUAUUGCAAUUAGAUUUAUUAUUAUAGACCAAACCUUUUUGAUGGAUGGAUGUUUGCCCGUUAUGCCUUCCGGCAUGUAGGGGCAGCAACAUCCUGUUGCUUUUACUGUAAAAUUAGUUUUUUAUGGGACAGAAUUGUAAGCCUUUUGCCCAACCUCCAACAUGGAGGAUCUGGCGCCCGACGUGGGACACAAACCCAGUACCCUGAGAUUAUGAGUCUCAUGCUCUACCAACAGAGCUAGGCCCUAAACCUUGUUGGUACGGACAGUAGCUCUGAAAACCUCAACUACAGAAGUUAUCAUAACAAAAGAACAAAAGAAGAAAGAGGAAACACAACAAUCAAGACAGGAUAAUAGGUCACGAUUACUAAACUAAAAAAGUACCACCAGUCCACAUGUAGUGUCUUUCACAAUCAGUAAGACUUGGCAGCAAAGAUUGCUACAAUUGCGAGGCAUGGUGGCACAGUGCUUAGAAUUGCUCCCUCAUAGCAUAGGACUCCGGAUUUCAAUCUGGAACUAUAUGUGUGGAGUUUGUAUGUUCUUCCUGUGUUUGCAUGUGUUUCCUUCAGGUGCUCUGGUUGUCUCCUGCAGUCCAAAAACAUAUUGGUGUUACACCACGCCCCCAGAGGACUUAUCAUUCCACCUCACAUUCCAGCACGGUUCCAAUUAGCCAAUUUACCCCAGCCUAUUUAAUGCUGCUUCACACUCUCCUCUGUGCUCAGUAUUGGGCUUUUUCCUGGCUAGCACUACUUCCAUUUUCACUACAACUUGCUACUUGGUUUUUGGCUUCCUGACCCUGGUUUGUUCUCUGACUACGUCUCCAGGUUUUGGUUUUGGUACUUUGGUUAUUGUUCUGGUUUCGACUCUCGGCUUCCUCACAGCUUACGGCUCCGCUUCUGGUUUUGGACUUUUGCACCGGCUUGUUUACCUACAGCUUUCGGACCUCGGAUUGUUAUAUCAACUACGCCUCUGGAGAUUGUUCUGGUUUUCUGCAUAGGGUCCUCACUACUAUUUCCAAACAAUUGGUAAGUUAAUUGCCUUUUGGGAAAAUUGGACCUGGUGUGUGGUGUGUGUUUGUGUCUGUCAGCAUCCCGUCCAGGGUGUACUCUGCCUUGCGUCCUUUGCUUGCAUGGAUAUGCACCUCUGCGACCCUGAAGAAGUCAUGGAAUUUGAAGAAGAGGUUAGAAAAUAGAUGAAUGGAUUGCUACAGUUGUCAGGCCAUCAGCAGCAGGAACACAGACUGAAGCAGCAAAAGCAAUUCUUCAAUAGGCAGCGACUCUUAGGAUCCUCUUGGUGCCUGUGCCUGCAGUGACAUCACUGAGAGAUGGGCCAGUCCUCCAGUCAGUGUCAACUUUACUUUCUUAUCUCUGUCUGACAGCAGAAGAAGACACAGCAUCUGGAUUCAGUAGAGUAGGUCAGAACAACCUGGUUAAGGCAUCCAGCAAAAUGUAAAUUGUUACCAAUCAACAAAGACUGGGUUGGCAAGAAAUACAACUGCAGCUGAUGACAAACAAUAUCAACAAGGAAAACCCCAAACCAACUGCUAGUGCAAUUAUCAACAAACCCCACAGAUGAGACCAAUAAUGUAUAUCCUUUUCCAUCAAUUUGAUCAGGGUUUAAGAUGUGGAGAAACAAAGGAACUGCAGAUACUGUAAAGAACACCAUGUUAUCUGUAAUGCAUGACGGAGCUAAGUUCAUGAACGUGGCAUGCAUGAACUGGUUCAUUCAUCCGUAUUGAUGAUGUAACUAAUGAUAACAGUGGAAGAAUGAAUUCUGAUGAUUAAAGAAAUGUCUGCUUAUGUACAGUAGAAGGAAAUACUUCCAUAGUUUUUGGGCUGCUUUUUACCAUGCACAAGAAAGUAAUAGUAACAUCAAGCAUAUCUACCAAAGAGGUUCUAGGUUCCACAAAGCUAUAUCAAAAUCACAUCUACUGUAUAAGGAAAAUCUACAGUUACAAUGUUUAUUAUGAACAAAUGUUUAUCUUCCAACAACAAAUGUUUAAAAACACAAUUUAUUUUUUAUAUUUAAAAAUAGAAUAAGAUCAAAAAAACAUUUAUAUUGAUGUAGACUGUGCUAGAGUAAGUCUGUUUAACUUAUAUUAUGUCACAGCUAUGUCAAUCGAUCUAUAUAUAGUAUUAUAUACUGUAUGCUGAUAUAUUUUGGUUCCAAAACACAUUGUUCGUUUUCAAUGACUGUCAGUAUACAGUACAAACUCCAAGUGCAAUGUACAAUAAAAUGAAAUUGCUCAUCUGGCUUAAUAUA